UUAGGGUUUUCGACCGGAGAGGGAGCCUGAGAAACGGCUACCACAUCCAAGGAAGGCAGCAGGCGCGCAAAUUACCCAAUCCCGACACGGGGAGGUAGUGACAAUAAAUACUGAUACGGGGCUCUUUUGGGUCUCGUAAUUGGAAUGAGUACAAUCUAAAUCCCUUAACGAGGAACAAUUGGAGGGCAAGUCUGGUGCCAGCAGCCGCGGUAAUUCCAGCUCCAAUAGCGUAUAUUAAAGUUGUUGCAGUUAAAAAGCUCGUAGUUGAACCUUGGGUCUGGCUGGCCGGUCCGCCUCACCGCGAGUACUGGUCCGGCUGGACCUUUCCUUCUGGGGAAUCUCAUGGCCUUCACUGGCUGUGGGGGGAACCAGGACUUUUACUGUGAAAAAAUUAGAGUGUUCAAAGCAGGCCUUUGCUCGAAUACAUUAGCAUGGAAUAAUAGAAUAGGACGUGCGGUUCUAUUUUGUUGGUUUCUAGGACCGCCGUAAUGAUUAAUAGGGAUAGUCGGGGGCGUCAGUAUUCAGCUGUCAGAGGUGAUAUUCUGGAUGACACCGCCC
Molecule: ribosomal RNA, 558 nt
Filed under: Aspergillus niger
Lineage: Eukaryota; Fungi; Ascomycota; Eurotiomycetes; Eurotiales; Aspergillaceae
Description: SSU rRNA
Rfam family: Eukaryotic small subunit ribosomal RNA
Source: RNAcentral